RNAcentral lists this ribosomal RNA (2352 nucleotides) under Triticum aestivum (bread wheat). RNAcentral's name for it is "partial small subunit ribosomal RNA". The record is from RNAcentral. Lineage: Eukaryota; Viridiplantae; Streptophyta; Magnoliopsida; Poales; Poaceae.
AUGUCGCCACUCCGCCUCCGCCUCCGGCCCCGCCUCCAUGCCCGCCACUCCUACUCCACCUCGCAUCCCUCACGCAGCCAGGGCUGGGAUCCCCACGCCGCCUUCGCUGCUGCCACGGAGCGAGCUCGAUCUGGCAACCUCACCUCGGAGGACGCACACAAGCUGUUCGACCAAUUGCUCCUGCAGGCUAAUCCGGUCAACAUGCGCCUUCCCAACGACCUUCUCACCGCCCUGGCUCGCGCGCCUGCGUCCGCAGCCUGCAGCAACGGCCCCGCCCUUGCCCUCGCCCUCUUCAGCCGUUUGUCCCAAGGUGCCCGCCAACGGGUGGUGCAGCCAACGGCCUGCACCUACGGCAUCCUCAUGGACUGCUGCUGCCGCGCAAACCGCCAGGAUCUGGCGCUCGCCUUCUUCGCCCGUCUCCUCAGGACGGGACUCAAGGCAGGCGUCAUAGAAGUCAACACUCUUCUCAAGGGACUCUGCCGCGCAAAGCGGGCUGAUGAGGCUCUGGACAUUCUGCUUCACAGGAUGCCUGAGCUAGGCUGCACCCCCAACGUGGUGGCAUAUAACACGGUCAUCCAUGGCUUCUUCCAAGAAGGCCAAGCAGGCAAGGCGUGCAGCUUGUUCCAUGAAAUGGCGCAGCAGGGCGUUGCGCCUAGUUUGGUGACAUAUAACUCGGUUAUUGAUGCGCUGUGCAAGGCCAGAGCCAUGGACAAGGCAGAGUAUUUCCUUCGUCAGAUGGUUGAUGAUGGUGUCGUACCUGAUAAUGUGACAUAUAAUAGCCUCAUCCAUGGAUAUUCCUCUUCAGGCCACUGGAAGGAGGCAGUUAGGGUAUUCAAAGAGAUGACAAGUCGGAGGGUUAAACCAAAUGUGCAUACUCACAACAUGUUUAUGACCUUUCUUUGCAAACAUGGAAGAAGCAAAGAAGCUGCAGGAAUUUUUGAUACCAUGGCUAUGAAGGGCCUGAAACAUAACAACGUUUCAUAUGCUAUUCUCCUUCACGGGUAUGCCACCGAAGGAUGCUUAGUUGAUAUGAUUAAUCUCUUCAAUUCAAUGGAAAGAUACUGCAUUCUACCUGACUGUCGUAUCUUCAACAUACUGAUUAAUGCACAUGCUAAAUCUGGGAAGCUUGAUAAGGCCAUGCUUAUCUUCAAUGAAAUGCAGAAACAAGGAGUGAGUCCAAAUGCAGUCACAUAUUCAACCAUAAUACAUGCAUUUUGCAAAAAGGGUAGGUUGGACGAUGCUGUGAUAAAGUUUAAUCAGAUGAUUGAUACAGGAGUACGACAGGGCACAGCUGUUUAUCGUUCCCUAAUCCAGGGUUUUUGUACACACGGCGAUUUGGUGAAAGCAAAGGAAUUGCUUACUGAAAUGAUGAACAAAGGUAUGCUUCCUCCUGAUAUUGCAUUCUUCAAUUCAAUCAUGCAGAACCUUUGCACAGAAGGAAGGGUAAUAGAAGCACGGGAUGUCCUUGGCUUGAUAGCGCACAUAGGUAUGAGGCCUGAUGUUUGCACAUUUAAUAUACUGAUCGGUGGAUACUGCCUAGUCGGCAAGAUGGAACAUGCCUCAAAAAUAUUUGAUGAUAUGAUGUCAUAUGGCUUAGAACCUUCUAAUAUUACGUAUGGUAUACUUAUUAAUGGCUAUUGCAAAAAUAGAAGGAUUGAUGACGGGCUUAUUCUGUUCAAAGAGAUGCUGCACAAGGGACUUAAACCUACAACUUUUAAUUAUAACGUCAUACUGGAUGGAUUAUUUCUGGCUGGACGAACUGUUGCUGCAAAGGAAAAGUUUGAUGAGAUGGUUGAAUCUGGAGUAAGUGUGUGCAUUGGUACAUAUUCGAUAGUUCUUGGUGGACUUUGUAGAAAUAAUUGUAGCGGCGAAGCAAUCACGCUAUUCCAGAAAUUAAGCACAAUGGAUGUGAAAUUCAAUAUUAUAAUUGUCAAUAUAAUGAUUGAUGCUUUCUACAAGGUUCAGCGAAACCAAGAAGCCAAGGAUUUGUUUGCUGCAGUAUCAGCCAAUGGUUUGGUAGCUAAUGUCUUUACCUACACCAUAAUGAUGAAAAAUCUUAUAAAAGAAGGGUCAGUGGAAGAAGCUGACGAUCUCUUUUUAUCAAUGGAGAAGAGCAGCUGUACUGCUGACUCUUAUAUGUUAAAUCUUAUCGUCAGAAUGUUACUGGGAAAAGGAGAGAUAGUCAAGGCUGGGAAUUAUAUAUCUAAAAUUGAUGCAAAGAGCUACUCACUUGAAGCUAAAACUGUUUCGCUGCUUAUCUCUCUCUUUUCAGGGAAAGGGAAAUAUAGAGAACACAUAGGAUUGCUCCCUGCAAAGUAUCGGUUUCGUGAAGAAGCAGCUACAGUUGUGUAG